UACGGAGGGUGCAAGCGUUACUCGGAAUCACUGGGCGUAAAGGAUGCGUAGGCUGGAUGCCAAGUCGAGAGUGAAAUCCAACGGCUUAACCGUUGAACUGCUUUCGAAACUGGUAACCUAGAGUAAGGGAGAGGCAGAUGGAAUUGGUGGUGUAGGGGUAAAAUCCGUAGAUAUCACCAGGAAUACCGAUUGCGAAGGCGAUCUGCUGGAACUUAACUGACGCUGAGGCAUGAAAGCGUGGGGAGCAAACAGG
Molecule: ribosomal RNA, 253 nt
Filed under: uncultured bacterium
Lineage: Bacteria
Description: partial 16S ribosomal RNA
Rfam family: Bacterial small subunit ribosomal RNA
Source: RNAcentral